GACGAACGCUGGCGGCGUGCUUAACACAUGCAAGUCGAACGGAAAGGCCCCUUUGGGGGUACUCGAGUGGCGAACGGGUGAGUAACACGUGAGUAACCUGCCCUUGACUUCGGGAUAACUUCAGGAAACUGGGGCUAAUACCGGAUAGGAAUCCUUGCUGCAUGGUGGGGGUUGGAAAGCUUCGGCGGUUUUGGAUGGACUCGCGGCUUAUCAGCUUGUUGGUGGGGUAGUGGCUUACCAAGGCUUUGACGGGUAGCCGGCCUGAGAGGGCGACCGGCCACAUUGGGACUGAGAUACGGCCCAGACUCCUACGGGAGGCAGCAGUGGGGAAUAUUGCACAAUGGGCGGAAGCCUGAUGCAGCAACGACGCGUGCGGGAUGACGGCCUUCGGGUUGUAAACCGCUUUCAGCAGGGGCGAAGCUUGUGGUGACGGUACCUGCAGAAGAAGCACCGGCUAACUACGUG
RNAcentral lists this ribosomal RNA (465 nucleotides) under uncultured bacterium. RNAcentral's name for it is "partial 16S ribosomal RNA". It matches the Rfam family "Bacterial small subunit ribosomal RNA", at positions 28 to 507 of the family's 1533-position model. The record is from RNAcentral.